Molecule: ribosomal RNA, 476 nt
Filed under: uncultured bacterium
Lineage: Bacteria
Description: partial 16S ribosomal RNA
Rfam family: Bacterial small subunit ribosomal RNA
Source: RNAcentral
AUGAACGCUGGCGGCGUGCCUCACACAUGCAAGUCGCACGAAGCACCUUACCUGAUUCUUCGGAUGAAAGUUUGGUGACUGAGUGGCGGACGGGUGAGUAACGCGUGGGUAACCUGCCCUGUACAGGGGGAUAACAGCUGGAAACGGCUGCUAAUACCGCAUAAGCGCACGAGGAGACAUCUCCUUGUGUGAAAAACUCCGGUGGUACAGGAUGGGCCCGCGUCUGAUUAGCUGGUUGGCAGGGUAACGGCCUACCAAGGCAACGAUCAGUAGCCGGUCUGAGAGGAUGAACGGCCACAUUGGAACUGAGACACGGUCCAAACUCCUACGGGAGGCAGCAGUGGGGAAUAUUGCACAAUGGGGGAAACCCUGAUGCAGCAACGCCGCGUGAGUGAAGAAGUAUUUCGGUAUGUAAAGCUCUAUCAGCAGGGAAGAUAAUGACGGUACCUGACUAAGAAGCUCCGGCUAAAUACGUG